AUGAACGCUGGCGGCGUGCCUAAUCCCUGCAAGUCGAGCGAACAGAUGAGGAGCUUGCUCCUCUGACGUUAGCGGCGGACGGGUGAGUAACACGUGGAUAACCUACCUAUAAGACUGGGAUAACUUCGGGAAACCGGAGCUAAUACCGGAUAAUAUAUUGAACCGCAUGGUUCAAUAGUGAAAGACGGUUUUGCUGUCACUUAUAGAUGGAUCCGCGCCGCAUUAGCUAGUUGGUAAGGUAACGGCUUACCAAGGCAACGAUGCGUAGCCGACCUGAGAGGGUGAUCGGCCACACUGGAACUGAGACACGGUCCAGACUCCUACGGGAGGCAGCAGUAGGGAAUCUUCCGCAAUGGGCGAAAGCUUGACGGAGCAACGCCGCGUGAGUGAUGAAGGUCUUCGGAUCGUAAAACUCUGUUAUUAGGGAAGAACAAAUGUGUAAGUAACUAUGCACGUCUUGACGGUACCUAAUCAGAAAGCCACGGCUAACUACGUG
RNAcentral lists this ribosomal RNA (496 nucleotides) under uncultured bacterium. Its description in RNAcentral is "partial 16S ribosomal RNA". It matches the Rfam family "Bacterial small subunit ribosomal RNA", at positions 29 to 507 of the family's 1533-position model. The record is from RNAcentral.